GGGAGUGGGAAAGAGGUGGCAUCGGCGGUUCAAGACUGAGUUUUCUAUCUCUUCAGUGCCUCUUUCAACAAUGAAGAUCAAACCAGGUUUUGUGCAAAUAUCUGCUGAGUGAACUACUUAUUUGAAAAUACAUCAUUGGUUAAUAUUCCCUUUUGCUCAUUGAAAUCUCAAAGACUACAGACCCCGCACAAGACAUUCUGACAUUCCCGUCUUUGAAAUGAAUGACAGCAAUGAUAAAUAUGGCUCACCUCCAGAGAUACAGAUCUCACAACUUCAUAUUUUUAAUAUAAAUUAUUAAUCUGAGGUGUGGUGCAAUUCCAUUAGAUGAAAGAGAUCUACACAUUCAGAAGCACAUGAUUCUUCCCCCUUCCAUGAUUCCAGUGGCCAAUAGACAAACUACAAUAAAGCCAUGCCCUGACUGGAUGUGCCUAACAUUUGUCUGGUGCUUAAAGGAGUUGGCUGCAUGCGUGGGAUGGAGAAGGAUUCAACAUUUAAUGGCAGUUAGAAUCAAAUUUUUAACUCAAGAAGGCAGAAGGAAUCCACCUAAAUAAAUGUUGGAAAGUCACCAAAAAUAGUUCUCCAAGUCAGAAGCGGUGCAAAAGCUGCCUCAGCUCUUGGUGGAUUUUCAAUUUCUCCCAGCCAUCUCUGUUUCGCUAAAGGUUUCUGAAGACAGUGGAAUGCUGUUGAAGACACCACCUUGAUAAAACAAAAACAUCAGCCAAAUUAAAUUUAAAGGAGUUUAAUUGAGCAAAGAAUUAUUCAUGAAUCAAGCAGUCUUCCAAGCCAGAGUAGGCUCAAAUACUCCAGCACAGCCACGUGGUGGAAGAUUUAUGGACAAAAGAAGAAAAGUAACAUAUAGAAAAUGGAAAUGAGGGGAAGCUUUUUUCUCCUCCCCAUCCUGAUCACUAGUAUGAGAAGGGGUGCUAAUGGACCAGCCUUGGCCUUGCAGAUGAAGAUGAUGAAGGAAGAAGAUGUAUAAAGAACCUCUGAAAGAGUCCCAGUUUUACAUUUCAAAGUCUUUUUCCUUCUGUUGUUUAUUGUGUUGGGUUGGAGUGGAGGAUAUUUGAUGGAGAAUUGAUUCUGAAACUUGCCAAAAUAUGGAUAAUACUUUGCUCCUUUUCCAUUGUGGGUUAUCACAAAGAAGAGUUUCACUUUUAGUCAUCUAUUUACAGUCUAGAAACAGGAACAAACCCAAACCAAGCAGAAAAACAGAAAUAACCAAGAUCAAAACGGAACUAAAUGAAAUUGAAAUGAAAAAGUACAAAGAUAAAUGAAACAAAAACCUGGUUUAUUGAAAAGUUAAAUAAAAUUGAUAAUUCAAUGG
RNAcentral lists this long non-coding RNA (1324 nucleotides) under Homo sapiens (human). Its description in RNAcentral is "long intergenic non-protein coding RNA 1192". The record is from RNAcentral. Lineage: Eukaryota; Metazoa; Chordata; Mammalia; Primates; Hominidae.